CAGUCGAGCGGUAAGGCCCUUCGGGGUACACGAGCGGCGAACGGGUGAGUAACACGUGGGUGAUCUACCUUGCACUUCGGGAUAAGCCUGGGAAACUGGGUCUAAUACCGGAUAUGACCUCUGAAUGCAUGUUCGGUGGUGGAAAGAUUUAUCGGUGCGAGAUGGGCCCGCGGCCUAUCAGCUUGUUGGUGAGGUAACGGCUCACCAAGGCGACGACGGGUAGCCGACCUGAGAGGGUGACCGGCCACACUGGGACUGAGACACGGCCCAGACUCCUACGGGAGGCAGCAGUGGGGAAUAUUGCACAAUGGGCGCAAGCCUGAUGCAGCGACGCCGCGUGCGGGAUGACGGCCUUCGGGUUGUAAACCGCUUUUGACAGGGACGAAGCGCAAGUGACUGUACCUGUAGAAUAAGGACCGGCCAACUACGUGCCAGCAGCCGCGGUAAUACGUAGGGUCCGAGCGUUGUCCGGAAUUACUGGGCGUAAAGAGCUUGUAGGCGGUUCGUCGCGUCGUUUGUGAAAACUUGGGGCUCAACCUUAAGCUUGCAGGCGAUACGGGCGGACUAGAGUACUUCAGGGGAGACUGGAAUUCCUGGUGUAGCGGUGAAAUGCGCAGAUAUCAGGAGGAACACCGGUGGCGAAGGCGGGUCUCUGGGAAGUAACUGACGCUGAGAAGCGAAAGCAUGGGUAGCAAACAGGAUUAGAUACCCUGGUAGUCCAUGCCGUAAACGGUGGGUACUAGGUGUGGGGCUCCUUCCACGGACUCCGUGCCGUAGCUAACGCAUUAAGUACCCCGCCUGGGGAGUACGGCCGCAAGGCUAAAACUCAAAGAAAUUGACGGGGGCCCGCACAAGCGGCGGAGCAUGUGGAUUAAUUCGAUGCAACGCGAAGAACCUUACCUGGGUUUGACAUACACCGGAAACCUGCAGAGAUGUAGGCCCCCUUGUGGUCGGUGUACAGGUGGUGCAUGGCUGUCGUCAGCUCGUGUCGUGAGAUGUUGGGUUAAGUCCCGCAACGAGCGCAACCCUUAUCUUAUGUUGCCAGCGCGUAAUGGCGGGGACUCGUGAGAGACUGCCGGGGUCAACUCGGAGGAAGGUGGGGACGACGUCAAGUCAUCAUGCCCCUUAUGUCCAGGGCUUCACACAUGCUACAAUGGCCGGUACAGAGGGCUGCGAUACCGCGAGGUGGAGCGAAUCCCUUAAAGCCGGUCUCAGUUCGGAUCGGGGUCUGCAACUCGACCCCGUGAAGUUGGAGUCGCUAGUAAUCGCAGAUCAGCAACGCUGCGGUGAAUACGUUCCCGGGCCUUGUACACACCGCCCGUCACGUCAUGAAAGUCGGUAACACCCGAAGCCGGUGGCCUAACCCUUGUGGAGGGAA
RNAcentral lists this ribosomal RNA (1378 nucleotides) under Nocardia sp. BJY6. RNAcentral's name for it is "bacterial SSU rRNA". It matches the Rfam family "Bacterial small subunit ribosomal RNA". Lineage: Bacteria; Bacillati; Actinomycetota; Actinomycetes; Mycobacteriales; Nocardiaceae. The record is from RNAcentral.